RNAcentral lists this long non-coding RNA (247 nucleotides) under Mytilus galloprovincialis (Mediterranean mussel). The record is from RNAcentral. Lineage: Eukaryota; Metazoa; Mollusca; Bivalvia; Mytilida; Mytilidae.
UCUUUUCUUUGGUAUUUAGUGAUUCAAUUUUGUUCCAGUCUGAUAACUGUGUGCAGAGUUGUUGUCUUUGGACAUAGAAAAUUCACUGAGAUAGUCAGAAUUCAACAAGUUUUUACGUUUUGCUGGAAGAUUUUGUCUCGAUAUUUUUAUGUAGUUUACAUUAUGACAAAUUAUAGAUCAAAUUUUUGUUCCAUUACAAUGAAUUUGUAACGGGUUGGGGACUAUGUAUUGCCAUGUAUUACUCGCA